GAUGAAGGCCUUCGGGUUGUAAACCUCUUUCAGCAGGGACGAAGCGUGAGUGACGGUACCUGCAGAAGAAGCACCGGCUAACUACGUGCCAGCAGCCGCGGUAAUACGUAGGGUGCGAGCGUUGUCCGGAAUUACUGGGCGUAAAGAGUUCGUAGGCGGUUUGUCGCGUCGUUUGUGAAAACCCGGGGCUCAACUUCGGGCUUGCAGGCGAUACGGGCAGACUUGAGUGUUUCAGGGGAGACUGGAAUUCCUGGUGUAGCGGUGAAAUGCGCAGAUAUCAGGAGGAACACCGGUGGCGAAGGCGGGUCUCUGGGAAACAACUGACGCUGAGGAACGAAAGCGUGGGUAGCAAACAGGAUUAGAU
RNAcentral lists this ribosomal RNA (364 nucleotides) under Rhodococcus sp. 4.20ST-VOd. RNAcentral's name for it is "bacterial SSU rRNA". It matches the Rfam family "Bacterial small subunit ribosomal RNA", at positions 407 to 783 of the family's 1533-position model. The record is from RNAcentral. Lineage: Bacteria; Bacillati; Actinomycetota; Actinomycetes; Mycobacteriales; Nocardiaceae.